Panicum hallii is the source of this 943-nucleotide long non-coding RNA. RefSeq lists it as uncharacterized. The transcript is spliced from 2 exons. Lineage: Eukaryota; Viridiplantae; Streptophyta; Magnoliopsida; Poales; Poaceae. The record is from RefSeq and is a predicted model, not a curated record.
UUUUUAGGAUCCGUUUGGAUCUUCGGAAUCGGGCCGAAUUGGAAAUACAUUCUAGACCGGCCUAUUUAGCCGCCGCAAGAAAUGGAAAAGGAGAUUCCAUCACUUUCCAUGGCCCGGAAUCUUGAGCUGCGAUAGAUUCACGGCCGAAAACAAGGAACGCAAUUCCUCAUCUGCUCCCGCCAUCCGGCCAUCCUGGAGCUCCGGAAGCCCGAAGCCGUUUCUCUGGCGCCGGCACUGCCGCAUCCGCAUCGACCCGCCGGAUCGAGUCAUCACCAAGCCGGCGUCGCUCUACCUGUUGCUACCAAGGCCGGUGCUGCUGUCCCCAUAGAUCAGUCCACUUCAACCGUGUUUGCCCGCCUCACCUGCACCUCCGUCCAGAUCAAGGAAAGUUGCUGUUGGCUGUUUUCACAGGAAGCAGUCAUCAAGGGAACAAUGACUGAAAUCGAAGAAGCUCUGGGAUCCUGCAUGGAGCGGCUGGUCACUGCCCGAGAAGAGCGGGAACAGAUCAGCGUGAAGGUGUACAGCGAGAAUCAUUCCAAAGUAGAAUUAUUUUUGUAAUAAUCAGGGGGUGGUACCAUAUGGGUGAGCAGUGAUGGCUGGAUUCCAAACACGUGCAGUGUAGGUGAACACAUUGCCAUUCUUGUUUUAAGAUGGAUCAUAUUGCCGUCAUUUUGAGGGAAUGUGUUAUGCUUCCCGUGUGCAUCUGACAUGUGCAAAGAGCCAAAGAGAGAGAAGAGAGAGGGAGGGAAUAUGUGCUAUGCUUCCUGACAUGUGCAAGAGAGUGCGUGAGAGAGAGUGAUUGUGAGAGGUACGUGCGUGUCUGUGUGCGUGUGUGUGUGUGUGAGAGAGAGAGAGAGGAGAGAGAGAGGAGAGAGAUUGUGAGAGGUGUGUGUGAAUAUCUCAUGUAUAUUUUGGAGAAUCAUCAUAUAAGCAUAUCGAGUCA